This is an RNA transcript of Fragaria vesca subsp. vesca, 540 nucleotides long. RefSeq lists it as uncharacterized. Lineage: Eukaryota; Viridiplantae; Streptophyta; Magnoliopsida; Rosales; Rosaceae. The transcript is spliced from 3 exons. The record is from RefSeq and is a predicted model, not a curated record.
GAGUAUGGGUUAUGCAGAUGGGGAACCCUACGAGGCCUUGGCAAGCCUGUGAUUCCAAUUCAGAUGUGUGGCGAUGGCAACACUGAUGGCAGAUCUGCCUUUUUGAAAUCGUCAAUGACAACCUAUACAAAUUGAAUCUCUUGACCUCGGCCAGAACCUCAGUUCAUUAUUCCCCACACAGCCCCCUCCUCCACUGACUCCUCACCUGAUAUUCUACUUGUCACACUGGGUUUACCUUCACAUUUGAGAUAUAUGGCUGAUUUCACUGCAGUUGGUUGCUCCAUUGCAGGAAAUUCAUCUUCCAGAUGGUAACAAAUGUGGUGGAGGCUGGAGUACAGCUAGUGCUCAUGGACCAGUUGCCGGCUCAAUAAUGACUCUUUUUGUGUAAUGUAUCAGAAUACCUUUGUUGGAAACACGGCCUGGAAACAUUUCAUAGUGCUAGUUUACUGUAAUUUGUUGCCCUUUCUUUGUAAUAUCCACGAGUGCAAUCUCAACUAUAUAUGAUGAAACUAAUAAAUUCUAUACAAGGGCUCAAUUUAU